CCUACGGGAGGCAGUAGUGAGGAAUAUUGGUCAAUGGACGAGAGUCUGAACCAGCCAAGUAGCGUGAAGGAUGACUGCCCUAUGGGUUGUAACCUUCUUUUAUAAAGGAAUAAAACGCGGCACGUGUGCCUUUUUGCAUGUACUUUAUGAAUAAGGAUCGGCUAACUCCGUGCCAGCAGCCGCGGUAAUACGGAGGAUCCGAGCGUUAUCCGGAUUUAUUGGGUUUAAAGGGAGCGUAGAUGGGUUGUUAAGUCAGUUGUGAAAGUUUGCGGCUCAACCGUAAAAUUGCAAUUGAUACUGGCAGUCUUGAGUACAGUUGAGGUAGGCGGAAUUCGUGGUGUAGCGGUGAAAUGCUUAGAUAUCACGAAGAACCCCGAUUGCGAAGGCAGCUUACUAAACUGUGACUGACAUUGAUGCUCGAAAGUGUGGGUAUCAAACAGGAUUAGAUACCCUUGUAGUC
RNAcentral lists this ribosomal RNA (460 nucleotides) under uncultured bacterium. Its description in RNAcentral is "partial 16S ribosomal RNA". It matches the Rfam family "Bacterial small subunit ribosomal RNA", at positions 338 to 795 of the family's 1533-position model. The record is from RNAcentral.